RNAcentral lists this ribosomal RNA (305 nucleotides) under uncultured bacterium. RNAcentral describes it as "bacterial SSU rRNA". It matches the Rfam family "Bacterial small subunit ribosomal RNA", at positions 333 to 655 of the family's 1533-position model. The record is from RNAcentral.
UGCGGCCUACGGGAGGCAGCAGUGGGGGAUAUUGCACAAUGGGGGAAACCCUGAUGCAGCGACGCCGCGUGAGUGAAGAAGUAUUUCGGUAUGUAAAGCUCUAUCAGCAGGGAAGAAAAUGACAGUACCUGAGUAAGAAGCCCCGGCUAACUACGUGCCAGCAGCCGCGGUAAUACGUAGGGGGCAAGCGUUAUCCGGAUUUACUGGGUGUAAAGGGAGCGUAGGUGGCAAGGCGAGUCAGAAGUGAAACCCUCGGGCUCAACCUGAGGCAUGCUUUUGAAACUGUCAAGCUGGAGUGCUGGAGG